This 102-nucleotide microRNA precursor is filed under the name Marmota monax (woodchuck). The record is from RNAcentral. Lineage: Eukaryota; Metazoa; Chordata; Mammalia; Rodentia; Sciuridae.
AGAGAAAUAGCUGGGUCAAAUGGUGGUUCCAACCCAGUUUUCCAAGGAAUCUCCAUACUGCUUUCCAAAUUGGCUGCACCAAUUUGCAGUCCCACCAGCAAU